RNAcentral lists this ribosomal RNA (500 nucleotides) under uncultured bacterium. RNAcentral describes it as "partial 16S ribosomal RNA". It matches the Rfam family "Bacterial small subunit ribosomal RNA", at positions 30 to 523 of the family's 1533-position model. The record is from RNAcentral.
AUUGAACGCUGGCGGCGGGCUUAACACAUGCAAGUCGAGCGGGGAAGGUAGCUUGCUACUGGACCUAGCGGCGGACGGGUGAGUAAUGCUUAGGAAUCUGCCUAUUAGUGGGGGACAACAUCUCGAAAGGGAUGCUAAUACCGCAUACGUCCUACGGGAGAAAGCAGGGGAUCUUCGGACCUUGCGCUAAUAGAUGAGCCUAAGUCGGAUUAGCUAGUUGGUGGGGUAAAGGCCGACCAAGGCGACGAUCUGUAGCGGGUCUGAGAGGAUGACCCGCCGCACGGGGCCUGGGACACGGCCCAGACUCCUACGGGAGGAAGCAGUGGGGAAUAUUGGACAAUGGGGGGAACCCUGAUCCAGCCAUGCCGCGUGUGUGAAGAAGGCCUUAUGGUUGUAAAGCACUUUAAGCAAGGAGGAGGCUACUCUAGUUAAUACCUAGGGAUAGUGGACGUUACUCGCAGAAUAAGCACCGGCUAACUCUGUGCCAGCCGCCGCCGUAA